Molecule: long non-coding RNA, 231 nt
Organism: Solanum stenotomum
Lineage: Eukaryota; Viridiplantae; Streptophyta; Magnoliopsida; Solanales; Solanaceae
Exons: 3
Source: RefSeq, a predicted model, not a curated record
AUUUUCUUUCUCCACAUAUCGCCGCUUGGAGCCGUAUGAAGUCCAACCUUCAUCUUAUUUGCCAUGUUAACCCUAUUUCUCAGCUUGCAAAGAGACAUAAUCCGGUGGAACAAGAAUCUCAGAAGUGGUUUCAAUAAAGGAGCCUGAUAUUAUGGUAGCUCGCAACUCUCUUGCGAAAUUUCAGGUUUGAGGAUAACUUUUUAGCAGUUACAAAGAGAAAAAUUUAGAAGG